AUUUUUCGUUCACCAACCAAAUAUAAGAAAACAAGUAAGAAAUCAACUUGUUUUUCAGGAAAAUAUUUUCCAUGAAAAACAUUUUCCUUCAUAACAAACACACCCUUAAUGUAAAUGAAAAACAAAUGAUCUCCAUGUAGAAUCUAACAUACAUAUAUAAUAUUGAGAUAAUACAUUGAAACACCCUUGAACUUGUGGUUAAAACUUACUUUAGAUUCUAAAUUAAUCGGACAAAUAUUUACCCCCUUAACAACUUUAAAGUGAAUUAAUUUCCCCCUCUAUGACUGAUGUAACAAAAAAAAGAAAAAAGCGAGUGAGUUUUUUUUUUUAAUAAAAAGGGCCCACUUUUUUUUUUUAUAUAUAUAUAUAACCAUCUUCUUCAUCUUUUCCAAAUCCCCUCCCCUAUUUCCAUCACCCCCACCCCACCCCACAACACCGUUUCUUUCUCUAUUUUUUUCGUAACCCGCCACCCCCACUCACCCCGUUUCUUCAUAUGAGGCGAAGCCAUGGAAAAUUUCUUAAAAGACUGUUCCAUGUUAUUACCAAGAUCUACAUCUGAAGAUGUACCAAGAGCCUCUUAUUGUGAAGAACAGAGCAGAUGGAGCAUUUGAAUAAUCAACAGAGAUAAUUUAGAACAGUACUGUUUGCUUGGGUACAUUGACUAUAGCUCUUCAAAUUGUCUGUUAAUAUUCUCUAAGAUUGUUUCUUGCCUAGUGUAUAUUGGAUAUGGACUCUAUGGUUUGCUUUUUCAUUUCCGGCUAAGCUAUAAAUUAUAAUGCUGACAGCUUCGUCUGUCUUUUUUUUUUUUUUUUUUUUUUUCUCUUGCAGAGGAAACUAUAUCUAUUAAUUUAUAUUAAGGACAUGAUCUGUCCAAAUAAACUUAAUACUUAUAUCAUUUACAAUCCUUUUUGUGAGCAUCAUUUCCCAACAGAUUUUCCUUGAGAUCGAAAACACAUUCUAAAUGUCUUCAUAAUUACAACCAAAAUUCCAAUUAACUUUCACAUUUUCCUCCAGCAUUUCUACUGUACUUUUUAGCAUCAAAGAAGAUACGUAUAUCCUUCCUGCGAUUGUAA
RNA transcript from Capsicum annuum, 1073 nucleotides. RefSeq lists it as uncharacterized. The transcript is spliced from 2 exons. Lineage: Eukaryota; Viridiplantae; Streptophyta; Magnoliopsida; Solanales; Solanaceae. The record is from RefSeq and is a predicted model, not a curated record.